RNAcentral lists this ribosomal RNA (306 nucleotides) under bacterium enrichment culture clone MAOB 70. RNAcentral describes it as "bacterial SSU rRNA". It matches the Rfam family "Bacterial small subunit ribosomal RNA", at positions 30 to 347 of the family's 1533-position model. The record is from RNAcentral.
AUUGAACGCUGGCGGCAUGCCUUACACAUGCAAGUCGAACGGCAGCACGGGGUCGCAUGCUGGCCAGUGGCGAACGGGUGAGUAAUGCAUCGGAACGUGCCCUAUAGUGGGGGAUAACUCUCCGAAAGGUGUGCUAAUACCGCAUAUUCUCUGAGGAUGAAAGCGGGGGAUCUUCGGACCUCGCGCUCUUGGAGCGGCCGAUGUCAGAUUAGGUAGUUGGUGGGGUAAAGGCCUACCAAGGCGACGAUCUGUAGCUGGUCUGAAGGAUGACCCCCCUGGGACUGAGACCGGCCCAUCCUACGGAGG